ACAGGGACUCAAGAUGAAUAAUGGCCUUUUCCAGAGAACCAGCUUGGGCCACAACAUUUUUGGAGAAUCUGCCUGAACCAUCAGAGUCCUGAUAGAAGGUGGAAUGUUACUUUUCAGAGAAAUCUUGAUCUCUGCAUCCAUUUUGUAAACAGGUACAGCUAAUGAGGUUUCUGCAAGACCUACGCUUACUGUGAAAUGGAAUGCAGCUGUCACAUACACAUCAGCCUUCACAUAAUGCAUGCUUCUGAAAGGAUUAUUGAUAUUCCAGCUGAAUAUAUAUAAUUAUAGGCUUCUUUGUACUUAAGAUGCUCAUUUUCCUUUUUUCAUGCAGUUCUUUUCUAUAUUAAAAGGACUAGGACUGAGAACUGUAGCCCAGCAGGACUUAGAAAGUGACAAAUUAAACAAUGGUGAAUAAACUUAGUUAAAUAAA
Molecule: long non-coding RNA, 430 nt
Organism: Xenopus tropicalis (tropical clawed frog)
Lineage: Eukaryota; Metazoa; Chordata; Amphibia; Anura; Pipidae
Exons: 2
Source: RefSeq, a predicted model, not a curated record